UUGGAAGAGAAUUAUGAGAUUCGGUAGAAAGGGGAAACUGAGUCCUCGUCUCAUUGGGCCGUAUGAAGAUCUGGAAAGAGUGCGUCCUUUGGCAUACCGAUUGGCACUACCUCCAGAGUUGAAAAAGAUACAUUUGUGUCUUUCACGUAUCCAUGUUGAGGAGGUAUGGAUCCGACCCAUCUCAUGUUCUACCUGUUGAAGAGAUUGAGGUAAAUCCAGACCUCUCAUAUGAGGAAGAACCCAUAAAAAUUCUGGCAUAUGAGGUGAAGCAGCUGAGGAACAAACAGAUACACCUGGUUAAAGUGCUGUGGAACCAUCAUUCAGGCCAGGAAGUUACUUGGGCGCACGAGGAGGAUAUGAGGAGGCAGCACCCACAACUGUUUAGAGGUUCAUACCAGGUAA
This 402-nucleotide unclassified non-coding RNA is filed under the name Hevea brasiliensis (rubber tree). Lineage: Eukaryota; Viridiplantae; Streptophyta; Magnoliopsida; Malpighiales; Euphorbiaceae. The record is from RNAcentral.